Molecule: transfer RNA, 73 nt
Filed under: Pteropus alecto (black flying fox)
Lineage: Eukaryota; Metazoa; Chordata; Mammalia; Chiroptera; Pteropodidae
Rfam family: tRNA
About the family: Transfer RNA (tRNA) molecules are approximately 80 nucleotides in length. Their secondary structure includes four short double-helical elements and three loops (D, anti-codon, and T loops).
Source: Rfam by way of RNAcentral
GGCUCCAUAGUGUAGUGGUUAACAAGUCUGCUUUACACACAGAAGGUCCCGGGUUCGCGCCCCAGUGGAGCCA